AAAUUUUGAAAAAAAACAACAACAAAAAAUCUGUUCUUAUCAGUUUAAUAUCUGAUACGUCCCCUAUCCGGGGACCAUAUAUUAAAUUGAUUUUUGGAACAGGGAGAUGGAAUAGGGGCUUGCUCCGUCCACUCCACGCAUCGACCUGGUAUUGCAGUAUCUCCAGGAACGGUGCACCUCCC
Molecule: small nuclear RNA, 182 nt
Filed under: Nothobranchius furzeri (turquoise killifish)
Lineage: Eukaryota; Metazoa; Chordata; Actinopteri; Cyprinodontiformes; Nothobranchiidae
Description: U2 spliceosomal RNA (ENSNFUG00015019013.1)
Rfam family: U2 spliceosomal RNA
About the family: U2 is a small nuclear RNA (snRNA) component of the spliceosome (involved in pre-mRNA splicing). Complementary binding between U2 snRNA (in an area lying towards the 5' end but 3' to hairpin I) and the branchpoint sequence (BPS) of the intron results the bulging out of an unpaired adenosine, on the BPS, which initiates a nucleophilic attack at the intronic 5' splice site, thus starting the first of two transesterification reactions that mediate splicing.
Source: Rfam by way of RNAcentral